This 510-nucleotide ribosomal RNA is filed under the name uncultured bacterium. RNAcentral's name for it is "bacterial SSU rRNA". It matches the Rfam family "Bacterial small subunit ribosomal RNA", at positions 28 to 531 of the family's 1533-position model. The record is from RNAcentral.
GAUGAACGCUAGCGGGAGGCUUAACACAUGCAAGUCGAGGGGCAUCACGAGGUAGCAAUACUUUGGUGGCGACCGGCGCACGGGUGAGUAACACGUAUGCAACCUACCCUGUACAGGGGGAUAACCCGGAGAAAUUCGGACUAAUAUCCCAUGCAAUUAUUGGAGGGCAUCCUUUGAUAAUUAAAGCUCAGGCGGUAUAGGAUGGGCAUGCGGAACAUUAGCUAGUUGGUAGGGUAACGGCCUACCAAGGCUACGAUGUUUAGGGGACCUGAGAGGGUUAUCCCCCACACUGGUACUGAGACACGGACCAGACUCCUACGGGAGGCAGCAGUGAGGAAUAUUGGUCAAUGGGCGCAAGCCUGAACCAGCCAUCCCGCGUGAAGGAAGAAGGCCCUAUGGGUUGUAAACUUCUUUUCCAGGGGGUGAAUAAUUCCGAUGUAUCGGGAGAUGACGGUACCCUGGGAAUAAGCAUCGGCUAACUCCGUGCCAGCAGCCGCGGUAAACUAGCGU